Molecule: ribosomal RNA, 580 nt
Filed under: Cuscuta exaltata
Lineage: Eukaryota; Viridiplantae; Streptophyta; Magnoliopsida; Solanales; Convolvulaceae
Description: eukaryotic LSU rRNA
Rfam family: 5.8S ribosomal RNA (bases 176-331)
Source: RNAcentral
UUUCCGUAGGUGAACCUGCGGAAGGAUCAUUGUCGAAACCUGCCCAGCAGAACGACUCGAGAACAUGUGAACCCCCGGCGCGGAACGCGCCAAGGAUUACUCAAACAAGAUCGUUCGGCUGCCGUGCCUCGUUCGCGCGGGCACGUGCGGUGUUAGCGUCUUUAGUAACACUAACGACUCUCGGCAACGGAUAUCUCGGCUCUUGCAUCGAUGAAGAACGUAGCGAAAUGCGAUACUUGGUGUGAAUUGCAGAAUCCCGUGAACCAUCGAGUCUUUGAACGCAAGUUGCGCCCGAAGCCGUCAGGCCGAGGGCACGUCUGCCUGGGCGUCACGCAUCGCGUCGCCCCCCUUCAAUUGCGGAGCGGGGAGCGGAUGAUGGCCUCCCGUGCCCGACUUUAGGUGUGGUUGGCCGAAAUGUUARGUCCUUGACGACGGACGUCACGGUGAGUGGUGGYCGUACCUAGCGUGCAUAUCGUUGUGUUGUGCCAUGCCGUCCGAGGACUUUGACCCUUUAUGAGCUGACGUGAGUUGGCUCUCUGACCGCGACCCCAGGUCAGGCGGGACUACCCGCUGAGUUUAA